UACGUAGGGGGCAAGCGUUAUCCGGAUCUACUGGGUGUAAAGGGAGCGUAGACGGCAUGGCAAGUCAGAUGUGAAAGCCCGGGGCUCAACCCCGGGACUGCAUUUGAAACUGUCAGGCUGGAGUGCAGGAGAGGUAAGUGGAAUUCCUAGUGUAGCGGUGAAAUGCGUAGAUAUUAGGAGGAACACCAGUGGCGAAGGCGGCUUACUGGACUGUAACUGACGUUGAGGCUCGAAAGCGUGGGGAGCAAACAGG
RNAcentral lists this ribosomal RNA (253 nucleotides) under uncultured bacterium. RNAcentral describes it as "partial 16S ribosomal RNA". It matches the Rfam family "Bacterial small subunit ribosomal RNA", at positions 524 to 776 of the family's 1533-position model. The record is from RNAcentral.